AACGAGGCCGACCUGCGGCUGAGUUACCUGCGGAGGGAUCAUUACCGAGUUUACAACUCCCAAACCCCUGUGAACAUACCAAUUGUUGCCUCGGCGGAUCAGCCCGCUCCCGGUAAAACGGGACGGCCCGCCAGAGGACCCCUAAACUCUGUUUCUAUAUGUAACUUCUGAGUAAAACCAUAAAUAAAUCAAAACUUUUAACAACGGAUCU
RNAcentral lists this unclassified non-coding RNA (211 nucleotides) under soil metagenome. RNAcentral's name for it is "partial contains 5.8S ribosomal RNA, internal transcribed spacer 2, and large subunit ribosomal RNA". The record is from RNAcentral.